UAGCUGAUAAAAACAAAUACGAGGAAGUGGUGACGUUGAGGAAAGCGCCAAGGUAUGAAAUAAUCAAUAUUUAAAAGAAGGAAAAUACACAUUUUCAUUUUAUUAGGAUUAGUUUAAACGUCAACUUACAGAUGGUCAAUUUUAAAAUCUCAUUUGAAAUCAAAUGCUAUAACGGUAAAAAGUCUUUCAGUUACGCGCUGGUCGUCAAGGUAUGAUGCUUAUGUCAGCUUAUAUGAAUUAUGGUAACAGUACAAGUUCUUAAAGCAAUCGAAAUAGAUAAAACUGAAAAAUCAGAAACAAUAUGUAAAGCACGAGGACUUAGAAUACAACUUGAAAAGUUGAAAAUGGCGUUCUUGGUUUUCUUAUGGGGUUUUCUACUUCACAGAUUAAAUGCUGGUGAAACUUAAGUUACAUGGUUAUAGUGAUGCAGACUAUGAUGGCGGUGAUACAACAACUAGGCGAUCAACAUUAGGAUACAUUAUUUAUUAUUUAUUUUCAUGAUGACCAAUGGAAUAGUAGCAUGGUAUUCAUAAAGGCAAAAAUCGAUAGCACUAUCAACUGUCGAGGUUGAAUACGCAUC
Molecule: long non-coding RNA, 580 nt
Organism: Daktulosphaira vitifoliae (grape phylloxera)
Lineage: Eukaryota; Metazoa; Arthropoda; Insecta; Hemiptera; Phylloxeridae
Exons: 3
Source: RefSeq, a predicted model, not a curated record